RNAcentral lists this ribosomal RNA (341 nucleotides) under Paraphysomonas imperforata. RNAcentral describes it as "partial Bacterial large subunit ribosomal RNA". It matches the Rfam family "Bacterial large subunit ribosomal RNA", at positions 778 to 1118 of the family's 2925-position model. The record is from RNAcentral. Lineage: Eukaryota; Chrysophyceae; Chromulinales; Paraphysomonadaceae.
ACCCACAUCUGUUGAAAAAGAUGGGGAUGAGCUGUGGAUCGGAGUGAAAGGCUAAUCAAGCUCGGAGAUAGCUGGUUCUCCUCGAAAGCUAUUUAGGUAGCGCCUCAUGUAUCACCCUCGGGGGUAGAGCACUGUUUCGGCUAGGGGGCCAUCCCGGCUUACCAAACCGAUGCAAACUCCGAAUACCGAGGAGUGCAAUCAUGGGAGACACACGGCGGGUGCUAACGUCCGUCGUGGAGAGGGAAACAACCCAGACCGCCAGCUAAGGUCCCAAAAUAUUGCUAAGUGGGAAACGAUGUGGGAAGGCAUAGACAGCUAGGAGGUUGGCUUAGAAGCAGCCA